Molecule: long non-coding RNA, 248 nt
Organism: Callorhinchus milii (elephant shark)
Lineage: Eukaryota; Metazoa; Chordata; Chondrichthyes; Chimaeriformes; Callorhinchidae
Exons: 3
Source: RefSeq, a predicted model, not a curated record
UCCGGCUCCAACGGUCGGUGCGCGAGGCAGAGUCGCUGACGACGUCCUGCGCGGCCGGAGUCCGGUACCGCGGGGGUCCAGCUGUCUGCUGAGGACAACGCCAUCAUGAACUGGGUGGGAGGCUCCAGAAACAGGAUUAAAUUGAAGCAAGAGAAAAAGCAACAAAAGGAGUUUUUUGAGAAGCGGAAACUUAAAUCAAAAAUUAAGCGGUUAGAUCCCCCAUUGUCACCUCAACAGAAUUCAUCCAU